Molecule: ribosomal RNA, 484 nt
Filed under: uncultured bacterium
Lineage: Bacteria
Description: partial 16S ribosomal RNA
Rfam family: Bacterial small subunit ribosomal RNA
Source: RNAcentral
AUUGAACGCUGGCGGAAUGCUUUACACAUGCAAGUCGAGCGGCAGCACGGGGGCAACCCUGGUGGCGAGCGGCGAACGGGUGAGUAAUACAUCGGAACAUGCCCAGUCGUGGGGGAUAACACUUCGAAAGAAGUGCUAAUACCGCAUACGUCCUGAGGGGGAAAGCGGGGGAUCGCAAGACCUCGCGCGAUUGGAGUGGCCGAUGUCAGAUUAGCUAGUUGGUGGGGUAAAGGCCUACCAAGGCAACGAUCUGUAGCUGGUCUGAGAGGAUGAUCAGCCACACUGGGACUGAGACACGGCCCAGACUCCUACGGGAGGCAGCAGUGGGGAAUUUUGGACAAUGGGGGCAACCCUGAUCCAGCCAUUCCGCGUGAGUGAAGGAGGCCUUCGGGUUGUAAAGCUCUUUCGGCAGGAACGAAACGGUGAGCUCUAACAUAGCUUGCUAAUGACGGUACCUGAAGAAGAAGCACCGGCUAACUACGUG